This 109-nucleotide non-coding RNA is filed under the name Gluconacetobacter diazotrophicus. Its description in RNAcentral is "TPP sequence". It matches the Rfam family "TPP riboswitch aptamer (THI element)". Rfam says of the family: Vitamin B(1) in its active form thiamin pyrophosphate (TPP) is an essential coenzyme that is synthesised by coupling of pyrimidine and thiazole moieties in bacteria. The previously detected thiamin-regulatory element, thi box was extended, resulting in a new, highly conserved RNA secondary structure, the THI element, which is widely distributed in eubacteria and also occurs in some archaea. Analysis of operon structures identified a large number of new candidate thiamin-regulated genes, mostly transporters, in various prokaryotic organisms. RNAcentral also lists the same sequence under 1 other name. Lineage: Bacteria; Pseudomonadati; Pseudomonadota; Alphaproteobacteria; Acetobacterales; Acetobacteraceae. The record is from RNAcentral.
UCGCGUUCUCCGGGGAGCCGCGUCAGAAUGGCUGAGAGAGGGGCUAGCCCCUGACCCGUCGAACCUGAUCCGGGUCAUGCCGGCGAAGGGAUGGGAAUUGAGCGCGAUG